This 495-nucleotide ribosomal RNA is filed under the name uncultured bacterium. RNAcentral's name for it is "partial 16S ribosomal RNA". It matches the Rfam family "Bacterial small subunit ribosomal RNA", at positions 28 to 505 of the family's 1533-position model. The record is from RNAcentral.
GACGAACGCUGGCGGCGUGCCUAAUACAUGCAAGUUGAGCGCUGAAGGUUGGUACUUGUCCCAACUGGCUGAGCAGCGAACGGGUGAGUAACGCGUGGGGAAUCUGCCUUUGAGCGGGGGACAACAUUUGGAAACGAAUGCUAAUACCGCAUAAAAACUUUAAACACAAGUUUUAAGUUUGAAAGAUGCAAUUGCAUCACUCAAAGAUGAUCCCGCGUUGUAUUAGCUAGUUGGUGAGGUAAAGGCUCACCAAGGCGAUGAUACAUAGCCGACCUGAGAGGGUGAUCGGCCACAUUGGGACUGAGACACUGCCCAAACUCCUACGGGAGGCAGCAGUAGGGAAUCUUCGGCAAUGGACGAAAGUCUGACCGAGCAACGCCGCGUGAGUGAAGAAGGUUUGCGGAUCGUAAAACUCUGUUGGUAGAGAAGAACGUUGGUGAGAGUGGAAAGCUCAUCAAGUGACGGUAACUACCCAGAAAGGGACGGCUAACUACG